ACGUCUGUAGCUCAGUGGUAGGGCAUCUGCUUUGCAUGCAGAAGAGCCCCUGCCAGUCAGCAUAGAUCAGUGUUGUUGAACCUUGGGUCCCCAGAUGUG
This is a non-coding RNA of Podarcis lilfordi (Lilford's wall lizard), 99 nucleotides long. The record is from the annotation of a GenBank genome assembly. NCBI's taxonomy places the organism in Eukaryota, Metazoa, Chordata, Lepidosauria, Squamata, Lacertidae.